GUAGGUGAACCUGCGGUUGGAUCAUUACUAUAAAUUCUUUCUCCGAAGGGAGUUAGGAACCAUAGCCCUAAGGCAUCUGCUAGGCAAAAACUCUCUGAGUACCUGCUCAGCAUUGUCAUAGGGAUUUUGGGAACAUUAUGUGAACUGUAUUGUCUCUGGCGGGGGGGGUGGAGUAUAAAUCAUUUACUCUAUCUGUCAGCUUGACGCUAAUAUUUUGUCAAGCCGUGGACAUCCCGUCAAACUCUUGUAAAACCUUUUGUCUUUUUUUUUGUCUGACAUUUUUUUUGUAUAAAUAUACAAACAACUUUUGGCAACGGAUCUCUUGGCUCUC
This 331-nucleotide unclassified non-coding RNA is filed under the name rhizosphere metagenome. RNAcentral describes it as "partial ribosomal RNA internal transcribed spacer region". The record is from RNAcentral.